UACGUAGGGAGCAAGCGUUGUCCGGAAUCAUUGGGCGUAAAGCGCGCGUAGGCGGCCAUGUAAGUCCGCUGUGAAAGUCCAAGGCUCAACCUUUGAAAGCCGGUGGAUACUGCAUGGCUAGAGUACGGAAGAGGCGAGUGGAAUUCCUGGUGUAGCGGUGGAAUGCGCAGAUAUCAGGAGGAACACCAAUAGCGAAGGCAGCUCGCUGGGACGUUACUGACACUGAGGCGCGAAAGCGUGGGGAGCGAACAGG
This 253-nucleotide ribosomal RNA is filed under the name uncultured bacterium. RNAcentral describes it as "partial 16S ribosomal RNA". It matches the Rfam family "Bacterial small subunit ribosomal RNA", at positions 524 to 776 of the family's 1533-position model. The record is from RNAcentral.